GAGGUGAAUGUAAUGUAACCGUCGUGCAAGAGAUUGGUAGAUUAUAUCGAUUAUUUAAGAAGAUUACGUUCAAGUUGAAGAUCUAAUCCAGUUUGAUACGCAAAGCUAUGAAUACAGACUGCUGUUCCCGGGCCUUACUUUCCAACCGAGGCUGAUGCGAUAAUUUUUUAAUAACUUGAGGUUGCCCUUUUACGGGGAUGACCAGAGAAUUGUUUCUCUCAUUGGACCAGAUCAUCUCCUCCCAGAUCUUUUAUCAUAGGGCCGUCAUGCUGCUGAAGUUACCCCUCCGUGCUUUAUCAUCGCGGAUAGAACGUUCUCAACUCCCGAAAAGAUGUUCCCGCCUUCAGAAUGCGUAUUGCGUUCUUAGCCUCAACAAAAAGGUUUCGUUCCCGACAAUUAACAACAUCUGCGUCACCUGUCGCUCAAAGGGGAACAUACUUAAGUCUUUGUUUCAAUAUAGUUCGAG
This is a long non-coding RNA of Dreissena polymorpha, 466 nucleotides long. RefSeq lists it as uncharacterized. Lineage: Eukaryota; Metazoa; Mollusca; Bivalvia; Myida; Dreissenidae. The transcript is spliced from 4 exons. The record is from RefSeq and is a predicted model, not a curated record.